Parus major (Great Tit) is the source of this 2710-nucleotide RNA transcript. It is a transcript of the gene named ribosomal large subunit pseudouridine synthase B-like, with no coding region annotated. NCBI's taxonomy places the organism in Eukaryota, Metazoa, Chordata, Aves, Passeriformes, Paridae. The record is from RefSeq and is a predicted model, not a curated record. The transcript is spliced from 4 exons.
AAUGACUAUAAAUUUGAAAUGAGGGGUUUUCAGGCAGGGACAUGAGAACAGCACUAGCAUUUCUUUACAGGUGUGCACAGGCAGGCAAACACAAGAGUGGCUCUACAGGGCCCAGGCCCAGAGCCAGGCCCCAGAGCCCCUGCCCGGCCGCCCGCGCGCUCCCCUCGCUGCACUUCCGGGCACGGCCGACAGGGGGCGCUGCUGCUCCCGGCGGGCAGCGCGGCUGCAGGGAUUCCGCCGCGCCGGCAGGGGGCGCUGUGCCGCGGGCGCGGGGAGGACGCGGUGAUGGCGGCUCGGCCCCGCCGGGAAGGGCUGGCAGGGAGGCUUUGCUGCACGAACCCUGGGGCAGCCGGGCCCGCUGCCCGGCAGGACAGAAAGGGGCGAGCCCAGGAUCCCGGGCACCCGAGCAGGUGGGCGUUGGUCUCUCUUUCAGUGAGGAUCAUGUCUGCAUAGACUGUCUUCAAGAUUUUAUCCAAAAAUUUGCAAGACUGCAGAUUUUUCUUCUAGGAAAGUUCAGGAGAUGGACAGAGCAAUGUGCCUGUAUGACAGCCUUAUUUCGGUAAAAUGUGGGCUCACUGGAGGUGACCAAGAAGUUGUCAGCAGGUCUUACUCUGCUAUUGAAGUUGCAUGCUUCAGUCAAGACAAGAAUUAGAUUCUCUGCAUCCCAGACAUCCAAUUGCAAUUACAGCAUCUUUAUAAGCUUCAUCAUGGUAAUGUAUAUGAUUGGUUCUUGUUCUGUACAAGUUCCUGAAGGAGACACUAUCUGGGAUAAAAAGUUAUUUAGGACAAGUAUCUGUUCUACAGCUUAACUCUGAUGGAAGCAAUCUUGUUGGGAGUUCUUUUCAUGUCUGUAUUUCUCUGUUUCUCUAUUUAAGUAUCAUGACCCUUCUGAUUUAGUAUUUUGUGUAUUAUGUGGGCAAGCAGGUAUUCUUAUCAUUAUUAAUGUGUACAUUUUUUUUUGGUGUUUUCACUUCAUAGCAGAAUUGUUACAAUUUCAGGGUCAACAGCUUUUACCCUCAGCUAUUGCUUAAAAUCUUUCCCUCUAAACUAUUAUCUACACAUAUUAAUAACCCAGUGAUAACUCAAAAGAUCAGUAGAGUUUAAUGGCCUAAAGCUUUGUAUUUAUUUUUGAGGUACUGCACUAUACCAACACACUUCUAUCAUGUCACAUUUUGUUACACAAACUUACAGUGGGAAGAAAUUUAACAGGAAGUGACAUGGUUUAAGUGAUGCACUGACAUGUAUAAUUUAAGGAUUGUAAUCUUAUUGGAAGCAGACACCUGCAAUUAAUUUAGAUAUUGGGAAUUCAAAAUGAAAGUUCUUAAAGCCAGAAGGAACUUAUGAUGCACAUUAGGCUCAUGAACUGGUGAAUUUAUCGGUUUAUCUAGAAGAGCAGCACAGUUAGAGUUACUAAAUCUUGUACACUCUUUUGUGGAGUACCAUUGUUGCUUUGAUGAAUCUAUAAAACAUUUAGAAAUUAUUCAGCUCCUGCCCUAUCCAUGAAGACAAAGCUUGAUUUGAAAGCAGUUUUAAAGGGAGAUGUCUUUGCUUCCUUCAAUAUCCAAAUCGGUGAUUAAAUUAAUGAAGGAAAUUACAGUUACUAUCAGUGGUGCUGCGUUGGUGAGUGUAUUGGAUACUAAGCAGAGAUACUGUUCCAUGGAUAUGACCACAAGUCAUAAUUCUUUAUGAGCUAUUUUGCAGAUAUAUGAAGUUACAUCUUACAUAUACCUCUUCAUAAACAAUUUUAAUACAGCAAAACAUGCAGGCCUUAACAUAGGCCUACCUAUUUCCUAGAUUUUUUUUUCUGUAGUAACAUAAAAGUAAUCUGAAUACAGUAAUUUGAUAAUUUCUAAUAAUUGGAAAAUACUGCUUUGUUUAGCUGUGGCCUACUAUGAAAGCCCUAAAAAACUCUCAAGCCAGCAGCUUGAGUCCUGCAUACUAAUAGUAAGGAACACAGUGGUUUUAUGGUUGAAGGAAUUUUUAUUUUCUGCCUAUUCAAAUGAUUAAACACAUGGUGGGUAUACAUAUACCCAUAUACAUAUACAUAUUUUAAGCACCUGUUUGCUUAAAAGAAAGUAAGAAAAACUCUGGAACACCUUUGAAACAUACAUAAUAUGAAAAAUUACAAAAGAAGAGCAGCAGCAGUAGAAUUCAUGACACCAGUAGUUUCCACUGUAAGUUUAUAUUUACUAAUUUUAUAGAUAAUUCUUCACUGAUUCAAUGUUAGCCUUUAUUUAUUUGUAGUUUGUGUAUUAUUUUCCACUGUAUUUAAAUUAAUCAAAAAGGGUCUAUUGACAGACACCUGAAUAAAUAAAGCAGAGAUUAGGAUCUUUAUUUAAAUCUAACAAUCAUGUGUCUGUUAAUGUUUAAGGUUCUGUAAAAAGUUUUGGCUUUUUCCUCUAAGUGUAAACUUUUCUUUUCCUGAGACUAUGAAUGUUGACAAGAAAAGUAAGAAAAGUAAAGCUUGGAGUGUGCCCUGGCAAUAAGAGAUUACUAUGGCAUCAGGUUAUCACACAUAUUAAGGAAGCCCAACAAUUACAUAAUAGUGCAUGUAUACAGAAGGCUUAGCAAACUCUGAUAUAUCUCAGGUGGACUGAAUGGGUCAAGAGCAGAAAUUCAGGUAAUCAUUGUACUGCAAAGUGGAUGUACCGCUGCCAAGAUCCACCCUUCUGAGCUGAGGCAGCCUCAUACAAAACUGCUGGAAAAUGUC